GGGCGGUUACCGAAAUGGUUAUAACGGCGUAGACUUGAAAUCUAAUGUGUCGGACAUCAUCCGACUUGCGAGUUCGAAUCUUGCACCGCCCGCCA
The sequence is a transfer RNA, 95 nucleotides long. It matches the Rfam family "tRNA". Rfam says of the family: Transfer RNA (tRNA) molecules are approximately 80 nucleotides in length. Their secondary structure includes four short double-helical elements and three loops (D, anti-codon, and T loops).